GUUACCUGGUUGAUUCUGCC
Molecule: ribosomal RNA, 20 nt
Filed under: Fusarium oxysporum f. sp. niveum
Lineage: Eukaryota; Fungi; Ascomycota; Sordariomycetes; Hypocreales; Nectriaceae
Description: partial 18S ribosomal RNA
Source: RNAcentral